AAGGGCACCACAAGAACGCGUGGAGCAUGUGGCUUAAUUUGACUCAACGCGGGAAAUCUUACCGGGUCCGGACACACUGAGGAUUGACAGACAAAUAUUUGAAAUUUUAUAUUUCUCAUAUAUAAAGAUGCUAGUUCUUUCAUGAUUAUGUGAUAGGUGGUGCAUGGCCGUUCUUAGUUCGUGGAGUGAUCUGUCUGCUUAAUUGCGUUUCAAUUUUUAUUAUGUAUACGUAUGACCCACGUUUACGCGUGCGAGUCUAGUAUGCUAUCAUUUGAAAGCAACGAACGUGACCGUAUCCUUUUAUUAUAUACGCACGCGUAUAUUUAUUCAUUAAAGGGACCGCUGUUUCUUUUUUUAAACCAGAGGAAGGUUACGGCAAUAACAGGUCUGUGAUGCCCUUCGAUGUUCCGGGCUGCACACGUGCUACAAUGAUUAUUUCAUUAAGUAUCUACUAUACUGCACAUUAUGUGUAUUAAAACCUACCCUGAGAAUGGGCGGGUAAUCAAUUAGAAGUAAUGAUUUCCUUUUUUUUAUACGCAACUAUGUACCGUAUAUUACAUCCCAUAAUAUUUUUUUAUUAUGCGUGUGUGUUUUAUUACCGUGUACGCGUAAUUGUUAAUUCAUGGUGGGGAUAGACCAUUGUUAAUUGUUGGUCUCGGUCUUAACUAGGAAUGCCUUGUACGGGUCAUUGGUUCAACAAACCACCCGGAAUACGUCCCUGCCCUUUGUACACACCGCCCGUCGCUCUUACCGAUGAACUUCGCUAUGAAUCUGUUGGACUGUAUCCUUUAAUGAAUACGGAAAGAUAUAUGAAUAGUGUGGUUUAAAGGAAAGAGAAGUCGUAACAAGGCAUCCGUAGGUGAACCU
This 867-nucleotide ribosomal RNA is filed under the name Elphidium sp. S1. Its description in RNAcentral is "SSU rRNA". It matches the Rfam family "Eukaryotic small subunit ribosomal RNA", at positions 1160 to 1816 of the family's 1831-position model. The record is from RNAcentral. Lineage: Eukaryota; Foraminifera; Rotaliida; Elphidiidae.